UACGUAGGGUGCAAGCGUUGUCCGGAAUUAUUGGGCGUAAAGAGCUUGUAGGCGGUUUGUCGCGUCUGCUGUGAAAAUCCGGGGCUCAACCCCGGACUUGCAGUGGGUACGGGCAGACUAGAGUGUGGUAGGGGAGACUGGAAUUCCCGGUGUAGCGGUGAAAUGCGCAGAUAUCGGGAGGAACACCAAUUGCGAAGGCAGCUCGCUGGGACGAUACUGACGCUGAGGCGCGAAAGCGUGGGGAGCAAACAGG
Molecule: ribosomal RNA, 253 nt
Filed under: uncultured bacterium
Lineage: Bacteria
Description: partial 16S ribosomal RNA
Rfam family: Bacterial small subunit ribosomal RNA
Source: RNAcentral